This 622-nucleotide long non-coding RNA is filed under the name Homo sapiens (human). RNAcentral describes it as "MAMDC2 antisense RNA 1 (ENSG00000277409.1)". Lineage: Eukaryota; Metazoa; Chordata; Mammalia; Primates; Hominidae. The record is from RNAcentral.
UGAAAGGCCAGCUGCCAGAAGCUUCUCACUCCGUGGAGACCUUGGAGUCGAGGAUGAAAUGUCUUACAACUGUGGGGAGACCUUGGCUUUUCCAAAGCCUACCAGGGUCCAGGACUUGGAAGCUAAGGCCCAGAGAGGAGGAGAAACUUGAUCAAAGUCAAUCAGACAAUGCAGAAUCGAGAAAAGUACCUGGACCUCUAUGCCCAUGCUUCUAGCAGCCAGCCUCCUAAAAUACCUCUAGUUGAAGCCAAAGUUAGAAUCCUUCUACGAAACUACAGGAUUAAAAUGGAAUGGUUACAUGACCCAGGCUUGACCAAUCAGAUCAUCCAAACCCUUUGCCACAGUGAUUGGUCCAGGGAUACAUGCAUGAGCCAGCUCAGGUAAAUGAGACUCAAUUAUAAGAAUUUUGUUAGCGCAAUUGGGAAAAAGAAGUUUUCUUUCCAUGAGAACUAUCAGCUAUAAGAAUGUUGGAUGCUUCCAUCUGCUGGAGUCCAUGAAGAAGGUCCAUGAAAAUGAAGCCAGCACAACAACACAGAGCUAAGACAUACAAAGAGAUGGAGAUUAAAUUGAAUGGAACUUUUAAGCCCCUACAUGCCCUUGAAGCCAGAUAUCCCUGAACUUU